GCCAUGGCGCUGGCCCCAGCCCCGGUCCCGGUGCCGGUGCCGGUCCCGGCCGGGCCCCCGGCGGGCGGCACCUCGGCGGGGGACAUGGAGCGCUACUACCGCCUGCUCCGCACCGCCGCGCUGCUGGAGGCCGCCGCCGAAACUGCAAUUCCCAUCUGUGCAAAGGACAUCAGUGAUGAUCUGAUGAAAGAGUUUGCUUUUCUGUCUGGUGGAAGAGGGAAGGACAAGGCUUGGAUCAUCACCCUCCCCGACAACGCUCGCUUCAACGAGGUGCCCGAGGAGAACGUGGCCAGAGUCUUGACGUACCUGACCUCAGUGCCCAGUCAACAUGAGUCUGACACUAAAUUUAUCCUAAUCCUGGAUAGAAGACUGGACACAUGGACAUCUGUCAAAACAACUCUCCAAAAAAUAGCAGCAUCCUUCCCAGGGAACCUGCACUUGGUGAUGGUUCUCCGUCCCACCGGCUUUUUCCAGCGCACCUUCACUGACAUUGGAUUUCGGUUCAGUCAGGAGGAUUUCCUGCUCAAGUUACCGGUGGUGAUGCUGAGCUCGGUGAGUGACCUGCUGACCUACAUCGAUGAGCAGCAGCUGACCCCGGAGCUCGGGGGCACCCUGGAGUACUGCCACAGCGAGUGGGUCAUCUUCAGGACGGCCAUCGAGAGUUUUGCGCUGACGGUGAAGGAAAUUGCCCAGAUGUUGCAGUGCUUUGGCACGGAGCUGGCAGAGACGGAGCUGCCGGAGGACAUGUACUCCAUCGAGCGCAUGCUGGCCCUGCGCACCGAGAGGUACUGCCAGCUCAAGGAAGAUAUUACAGCAGUCACAAAAGAGGGAAAGUUGCUUUUGAGCAGUUUUGAAGAGCCUGACUCUGGGGAAUGCAGUCAGGACCAGCAGCAAGAGAGGCCUGGGGACUGGGAGACUGUCAAUCGGUUGCUUGGUCAGCUGCGUGAGAUGGAGACUGCUUUUGAUGGCUUCUGGGAAAAACAUCAGUUAAAAAUGGAGCAAUAUUUACAACUCUGGAAAUUUGAGCAAAGCUUUCAAGAGGUCAAGAACGCCAUUGAGUUUUUAAUGGGUCAGCAAGCAGAGCUGCCCGACACUGGUGACAGCAUCCCCCAGGUGAAACAGAGGCUCAAGGACUUGGAUCAUUUCGAUGGCAUGGCUCAGGAUCUGAUAGGGAAGGCUCAGGUGGUGAUACUGCACGGCCACCAGCUCGCAGCCAACCAUCACUACGCCCUCAACCUGAUCUGCCAGCAGUGCAACGAGCUGCGGCACCACUGCGACCUCCUGGCUGACGACAUCAAAAGGAAGCAGAUGCGCCUGCAGAAGACCUUGGACCUUCACACCCGCCUUCAGCAGGCUCUGCAGUGCUGUGAUGAAGGUGCCUACCUGCUCGCCAACCAGCAGAUGGAUAAGUGCCAGUCCAAGGAAGGCGCUCAGAAAGCACUCCAGGACAUAGAAAGAUUUCUUGAAAACUCUUCAACCUACUUAAACUAUGAUCCCCAAGCCCUACACUACGAUUUUGAGUCAGUCUUAACAUCUGAGUUGAAGUGCCAGAUCCAGUCAGUGCAGGUGAAGCUGGAGAAUGUUCGCAGCAUGUUUGAGAACCGCCAGUCCUGCUUCAAGAAGCUGCUGGACAAACACGUGCGGCCCGUCCAGCUGGUGGCUCCUCGGCCAGAAACCCCACCCAGAUCAAAGUCACCCUUAUUCUCUCCUAAACACGGUGUAGAUUUUAAUUCCAGUUUGAAAUUUUCAUUUGAUCUCUCUCUCCCUGGGAAGAAAACUUCAAGAAAAACUCCAAGUUCUCGCAAGAUCGAAGUCAUGCACGACUACCAGGAGAAGCGGAAUUCCUUGCAGUAUUUCAUUUCAGACAGUGAUGACAGCUUAGAUAUACUGAAAGGUCAUGUCAUAAAUGAGCUCAUAGAAACAGAGAGAGUGUAUGUGGAGGAACUCUUCACUGUUUUGACGGGCUACAGAGCUGAGAUGGAUAAUCCUGCCAUGCUGAUGCUCCUGCCCCCCGUGCUGAGGAGCAGGAAGGACGUGCUCUUCGGAAACAUGCCCGAGAUCUAUGACUUCCACAACAAAAUCUUCCUGCACAGUUUGGAAAACUGCCUGGGAGCACCCGAGAGAGUGGGAUGUUGUUUCCUAGACAGGAGGGAGGAUUUCCAGAUGUAUGAGAAGUACUGCCAGAACAAGCCCCGCUCCGAGUCCCUGUGGAGGCAGUGCUCCGAGAGCGCCUUCUUCCAGGAAUGCCAAAGAAAAUUAGAACACAAACUGGGGCUGGAUUCCUAUCUGCUCAAACCAGUGCAGCGCCUGACAAAAUACCAGUUACUUCUGAAGGAGCUGCUAAAGUACAGCACGAGCUGUGAUGGAGUUCAGGAACUUCAAGAAGCUCUGGUUGCGAUGCUGGAUUUGCUGAAGUCAGUCAAUGACUCCAUGCAUCAGAUUUCAAUCACAGGAUACGAUGGUGACCUGAGCGAACUGGGGAAGGUAUUGAUGCAGGGAUCUUUCAGUGUUUGGACAGGACACCGAAAAGGGCCAACAAAAAUGAAGGAUCUGGCCAGGUUCAAGCCCAUGCAGAGGCACCUGUUUCUGUAUGAGAAAGCUUUGGUCUUCUGCAAGAAGCGAGAGGAGCACGGAGAUGGAUAUGACAAAACCUCAUCUUACAGCUUUAAGCACUUCCUGAAAAUGAAUGCAGUUGGAAUAACUGAGAAUGUGAAAGGAGAUCAUCGGAAGUUUGAGAUCUGGUACAGCGGGCGAGAAGAGGUUUAUGUGGUGCAGGCCCAAACAGUAGAUCUGAAAAUGGCAUGGUUGAAUGAAAUAAGAAAAAUUUUGUUCAAGCAGCAAGAGCUUAUAAAAGCAGUGGAGAAGCAGCAGCCUGGCUCGUGCUCGGAGCUGCCACUGUCCUCGCAGCUGGGUGACAGGAAGCAGCAGAGAGCCUCCAUCAGCUCCGAAGAGAACGACUCUGAGCGCAGCAGCCCGGUGAUGCUGGACAGCGGCCUGGUGUCCCCCCAGAACAAGCCCCACAGAAGCUGGCCAGGAAUGUCCCAGUCGCUGGAGAUCUGCGAGGGGCUGGAGGAGUGGUCGGGCCACCAGUACCUGUCCAACUGCUCAGACACCGAGGAGGAGGAUGGGAACCAGCUGUCUCCAGGAAAAUACAAAGCCCUUGCAGACUGCAAGAGGAGAGGAUCAGAGGAUCUGCUGGUGAAAAACGGGGAUGAAAUUCAGCUCUUGCAUGAAGAUGGUGAGGGACAGUGGUUGGUGAAAAACCUAAACAGAAGAAAAGAAGGCUGGAUUCCUGUGCACAGUCUGCAGAUUGUAGUCGGUGACUGCAGAUUUCGGAAUGCCAAAGUUGCAGAUUUCAUUGCAAGAGCACUGGGUAGAAGACCGGGGAGAAGAGAUGGAGUCUGACCAGGGAUCCCCGUGACUGUUUUGCCUCCUCACUGCUGUAGCUCAAACCCCGUGUGAACAGGAGGUACCUGAGCAAAAUCCCCUCCUGCUGCAAAAGACAUCGUGGCCUGACCCCAGCACUAAAGGCAAUACUUCCUCCUUGCUGCCUCUCUCCUGCCCUCACUGCUGCCUGCUGGUUAAUCCAUCCUUAGAUAAAGUUUAUAACAAACAGCUUUCCAGGUUUCAGCCAAAGGCUUAGAGGCUCCAAACCCACAUUUCUCAUUUUCUAGCUGUACCUGUACAUAGAAAUAGAUAGGGAAGCAUAAGAGACGACACAAGAAAAUGCCUUAAGAGCAGCCUGUUGCCCUUGCCACAGCAUCACCACAACCAUUGUUGCCUCAUCACCAUGCUGUCCUCUGCAGAUGGAGACCAGGGUUGGAGAUGGAGCAGCUCAGGAAGCCCACAUAGACUUAGCCCAUUAAAAAAAUAAAAAAAUACUAGUUAUGACUGUAUGAAGCAAAUUUUGCAAGGAGAUUUCUCUUUAAAUACUUCUUUUCUGUCAGAAUCUAUUAUUUUGAUGAAUGUGAAGGAAGCCAUCUGAAAGGCUUAAAAUUCCAGUCAGCUCACAAUGGGUUUUUGUAUAUUUUCAGUGAAAUCCUUCCCAUACAGGAAGGUUUUUUUAUCCCCUUUGUUGCAGGGCAGUUGAAUUUCACAGGUUGAAGGUUUGCUGACUUUCUGUAAGGGGUAGUUUGCUAACCAGUGUUCAGAGUUUACUGGCACCCUGUUUCCAGUGCAGUAAUGGCAACCUUGAUCUCCUCUCUGUGUUUAGCUACCCCACCUCACCAGCUCCUGUGCUGAAGGGUUUUCCAGCUGGGAAUGCAUCUCAGAAAAAGGGUGCUGGGAAACUUUGAGCUCUGGUUUGCACUGUCAGUGCUCAGAUCCACAAAAACCUGGAGACUGUCAGCUCUAGACUGGUUUAUAAAGCUGCUGGGUAGAGGCUGAGGGGAAUUGCACGGGGUGGAACCACAGAGAAUGCCUCCUGUGAGUGCCACAGCAGUGCCCAGGCACUCCAGAGCCGUGUCCCAGGGCUGAGCACACUCAGCCUGUGUCCCCUGUGAAGGUAACUGGUCUCUCUUGCUGUUUCUGCUCAUGCCUGCAGGCCAGAGGCAUGAUUCCAGUCUUACACACCCCAGGAAAUACUGGGGGCUGAUGUAGGAUGUUCUCUUGCUGUUUCCUAGAGCUAUUCCCAGAGCUUUUCAGCAAUGUGUCCUUACAGCCAGGAGCAGCUGGCACUCUGUAAACUGAUUUUCACACAGUUCUUGUGCAGUGAGCACUGCCUUUGCCCUGGGGCUGGUCACUUCCCUGCAGGUGACACCGAGUCCUUGGCAGUGUCUGGACUGGGUUCUUUCCUGCUGCUUCAGAAGAUGGAGCUCUUGCUCCAGAAUAGCAGAGGGAGAAUCAAGCCAAGCUCGUGGAGUGAAGCAGGGACAGGAGGGGGUGUCAGAACCCUCAGGGAUCAUCAGCUGGGUGUGCUGAAACGCUGCUGUGCAUGUUGGCAGUGUAAAACCCACUGAGCUGUGGGAUCCCCAGGGGCUUGGGGAGUGUUGGAGUCACUUCAGGGCUGGGGGAGAGGCAGUUCUGGCAUUUCAUGGGAGCAGUGCCUCUCUUAUUGCUCAGCUCCAGGUUCCCCUAAAUAAAACUCCAUGGCCAGCCACAGAAUAUCAUAGCAGAAUUCAUACAAAUCUGGGGUUUGGGAUUUUUUUCAGAGCAAAGCCUUUAGCUGAAUAGAGUAAAUGGUUCUCUUACCUUCACAUUUCUCCUUAGAUUUAUACUGUGGCCCACCACAGGAUGGCUGCUACCUGCAUGCCUACAAGCUGUUCCUCUCCCCUCCUGCUAAUUAGUCCAUAAAUAUAAUAAAUAAUUAGUAUUAUAUGUGUUGAGCCAAUACAAAUCGUAUUGAAGUUACAGGGAACGUUUUGCUGUCCAUUUUAAGUUAGCAGAGGGGUAUUUGGUAAAUGCUUCACUCCCCAGCCAUUCCAGCUUUGCAAAUCCACUCUCCUCUUGUAAAUCCUGGCCUGGAUGGAAGCCAUGAGGUUCUCUGGGAGAAAGGUGGCUGGCUUGGAGAUGGUUUUGAAAAUGGGUUUUCCUUCUGAUGUGCCUCUAGCUGUAAGGUCUGAGAUGAGUCCUUGCUGCUUUCUUCCAAACACAUUCAUUCUGUCUGCUGUGCAAACCCACGGUGGGAUUUUUUAAUGUGCACGGCGAAGGAACAGUUUUGUAUUGCAGGUGGUAACAUGCAGAGCUCAAAAUGAAAAAUAUUUGGGAGAGCUGUGCUCAGAAAGAGCAAUACUCAGAAUGCAGCUACUGCUGAGGCUCUGUGUUGUGCCUUGCAAGUGGUCAGGCAUUGCCUGGUUAACUGACUUGGCUUUUCCACGAGUUAACACGGAGAUGCAGGAUUAUCUCUUCAUUUCAGGGAAGGUUGGGGCUCCAGCAUUGCAAUCCCAGCUCCUCCUCUGCACUGGAGCAGGAGACAAAAGAGUUCUGCAGGUCCCUGGGUGGCCAGUGUGGCAGGGAUCAGGCUUGGCAGCUCUGUGGCAGUGCAGGGAAGGGCAUCUCAGCUCUCAGCUGCCCUGCAGCACCCAUGGCAGGGAUUGGAACCAGGUUAUUUUUGGAGUCUCUUCCUGCCCCGGGUGGGCACAGGCUCCUGUUCUACAUGCCAGACUCUCUGCUCGUUUCUUUAACAUCCCAAAUUCUCUCUUCCAAGCCUUAGGGGGAUUCCCUGUGCCUGCUCUCCAUGCCUGAUAAAGCUGAGCAAAGGUUUCCCCCCAGUCACACUGCCUGAAGGUCUGAGCUUGUGUGUCCUGUGUCCCCUCUGGGCAGGGCACUGGGGACUGUCCUGUGUCCCCUCUGGGACUGGCACUGGGGACUGUCCUGUGUCCCCUCUGGGACUGUCCUGUGUCCCCUCUGGGGAGGACACUGGGGACUGUCCUGUGUCCCCUCUGGGACUGUCCUGUGUCCCCUCUGGGACUGUCCUGUGUCCCCUCUGGGGAGGACAUUG
This is an RNA transcript of Poecile atricapillus (Black-capped chickadee), 6439 nucleotides long. It is a transcript of the gene named MCF.2 cell line derived transforming sequence, with no coding region annotated. The transcript has 31 exons. The record is from RefSeq and is a predicted model, not a curated record. NCBI's taxonomy places the organism in Eukaryota, Metazoa, Chordata, Aves, Passeriformes, Paridae.